ACAUUUACCUGGCAGGGGAGAUACUGUGAUCAUGAAGAUGGUUUUCCCAGGGAGAGGCUCAUGCAUUGCACCCUGGGUGUGCUGACCCCUGCAAUUUCCCCAGAUGUGGGAAACUCUACUGCAUGAUUUGUGGUAGUGGGGGACUGUGUUUGUGCUUUCCCCUG
Molecule: small nuclear RNA, 164 nt
Organism: Camelus dromedarius (Arabian camel)
Lineage: Eukaryota; Metazoa; Chordata; Mammalia; Artiodactyla; Camelidae
Gene: U1
Rfam family: U1 spliceosomal RNA
About the family: U1 is a small nuclear RNA (snRNA) component of the spliceosome (involved in pre-mRNA splicing). Its 5' end forms complementary base pairs with the 5' splice junction, thus defining the 5' donor site of an intron.
Source: Ensembl